GGUAGUCCACGCCGUAAACGAUGUCGACUUGGAGGUUGUGCCCUUGAGGCGUGGCUUCCGGAGCUAACGCGUUAAGUCGACCGCCUGGGGAGUACGGCCGCAAGGUUAAAACUCAAAUGAAUUGACGGGGGCCCGCACAAGCGGUGGAGCAUGUGGUUUAAUUCGAUGCAACGCGAAGGACCUUACCUACUCUUGACAUCCAGAGAACUUAGCAGAGAUGCUUUGGUGCCUUCGGGAACUCUGAGACAGGUGCUGCAUGGCUGUCGUCAGCUCGUGUUGUGAAAUGUUGGGUUAAGUCCCGCAACGAGCGCAACCCUUAUCCUUUGUUGCCAGCGGUUAGGCCGGGAACUCAAAGGAGACUGCCAGUGAUAAACUGGAGGAAGGUGGGGAUGACGUCAAGUCAUCAUGGCCCUUACGAGUAGGGCUACACACGUGCUACAAUGGCGCAUACAAAGAGAAGCGACCUCGCGAGAGCAAGCGGACCUCAUAAAGUGCGUCGUAGUCCGGAUUGGAGUCUGCAACUCGACUCCAUGAAGUCGGAAUCGCUAGUAAUCGUAGAUCAGAAUGCUACGGUGAAUACGUUCCCGGGCCUUGUACACACCGCCCGUCACACCAUGGGAGUGGGUUGCAAAAGAAGUAGGUAGCUUAACCUUCGGGAGGGCGCUUACCACUUUGUGAUUCAUGACUGGGGUGAAGUCGUAACAAGGUAACCGUAGGGGAACCUGC
Molecule: ribosomal RNA, 726 nt
Filed under: uncultured bacterium
Lineage: Bacteria
Description: bacterial SSU rRNA
Rfam family: Bacterial small subunit ribosomal RNA
Source: RNAcentral